RNAcentral lists this ribosomal RNA (497 nucleotides) under uncultured bacterium. RNAcentral's name for it is "partial 16S ribosomal RNA". It matches the Rfam family "Bacterial small subunit ribosomal RNA", at positions 28 to 507 of the family's 1533-position model. The record is from RNAcentral.
GAUGAACGCUGGCGGCGUGCCUAAUACAUGCAAGUCGAGCGAACGGACGAGAAGCUUGCUUCUCUGAUGUUAGCGGCGGACGGGUGAGUAACACGUGGAUAACCUACCUAUAAUACUGGGAUAACUACGGGAAACCGGAGCUAAUACCGGAUAAUAUUUUGAACCGCAUGGUUCAAAAGUGAAAGACGGUCUUGCUGUCACUUAUAGAUGGUUCCGCGCUGCAUUAGCUAGUUGGUAAGGUAACGGCUUACCAAGGCGACGAUGCGUAGCCGACCUGAGAGGAUGAUAGGCCACACUGGAACUGGGACGCGGACCAGACUCCUGCGGGAGGCAGCAGAGGGGAAUGUUGGACAGUGGGGGCAAGCCUGAGGCAGCCAUCCCGCGUGUGUGAAAGAGGCCUUCGGGUUGUAAAGCCCUUUUGUUGGGAAAAAAAAGCUGUAGAUUAAUACGACGCUGUUGUGACGGUACCCAAAAAAGAAGCACCGGCUAACUACGUG